AAAAAAAAAAAUAGCUUCCUGACAUGCUCUCAGCCGAGGGUCUGACCUUCCUUUCAAUCCACUCUUGCCUCAAUUAACAUUGUAAAAGGCAAAUCUGGUCAUGUCAUUUCCUUGUUUAUAAUCCUUCAAAAAUUCUCCAUUAGCUUGAGGAUAAAAGGUGGGCUUUUCAACAUAGCAUAUUCUUCCCUACUCUGUUCAUGCUAUUUCUCUAUGCCCAUCUCUUGCCUCUUCAAUGCUUGCCAUGCUCAAUUCACUGUGCUUUCUCCUCCUGCAGCCUCUGAGCAUGCUACUCUGCCUGAAAGGAUCUUUUCUUUCUUCAUCUGGCUCAAUUUUGUCGUUUCUUCAAGACUCUGCUCUGGACACCUCCUUCAGGAAGCUUUCCCCGUCUGACUUUCCUCUCCACCAUCCAUCGUCACCUGCAGACUGUGUUAAGUGCUGUCCUCAAUGUUUCCUUCAUGACAUUAUGCAUUAAAAUUGUUCAUUUAAUAGACAGUGUUUAGUUUCCAGUGAACUUUAAGCCUCUUGAGGGCAGGAAAUGUGUCUCCUCCGUUUGUAACCUCCAAGUUUAGCUCAGCCCACGCAUACUGAAGAGUCAGUGACUGCUUAGUGAAUGGAUAUUAAAUUACUAUUUAACGGUAUUUACUUACUAUUGCUAGUACUUACUAUUAAAAGGUAAGUGAGUGAUAGAGAAUGCUGGAGCGGGAAGGGCCUUGGUGCUCUAGAGAAGGGUGGGGAGGGUGUUCCAGGUGAUGGGCAGAUCUUGAGCCAAAGUGCAGGAGUGAGAAGGUGAGUGAGUUUGAGAGACUGUGAGGAAUCAGCUGGUGUUUUGGAGGAAAGUACACUCAGGCAGGCGGAGGCCAAGUUUGGGAGGCCGCUCCAGGCCAGGCUCAGCAGCUUCUCUUCAUUGAAUGAACUCUUGCCACCACUUAACGCUUCAUUGCUGUCAAAUGAACUUGUUUCCUAAACAUUUACUAAGUCCCAACAGUGUGCAAGAUAUUAGAUAUAACUGUAUAAAAUUUGAUUCAGCUAUGUGAAUUUUGACUCUUUGGCUAGAUUGUAAGCCUCUCUGAGGGCAAGGACAGUCUUUUUAAACUACUUGGUCACUAUUUUUUUUUAUUAGUCAACCAAUACUUACUGAGAAUCUGCUAUGUGCUCGGAGCUGUGACAGAUGUAUACAAAGGAUAACAAGACACUCUUGUUUUGAUGAGGGUGACACCAAUAAACAAAUGUUAUAACGUCACAUGUAAGUGCUCUAUGAGAGCUAUUGAAGUGGUGUUUAGGGAGCAUGGAUGAAGAAGUUAUAAAUGAUCUGUGGGGAGUCAGGACAGACUCUCAGAGGGGAUAUGCGCUCAGCAUACAUCCCUCCAUUUACUGUCCCAAUUGAGGAAUUUCCUCUACGCAUCUUGAUAGGAAGUCUUCACAUUUCUUUAAGUGCUGCUUGUAGCAACAGAAAAUGUUUUUCCUUUUUUUCCAUUUUGAACCAUUAUCUUGGGUGGGAAGCUCUUUCCUCUAAUGUUGUUUGCUAUCUCUCUCCCUGUGAUGUUAAUUCAUUGAUUCCAGUUCUGCAGCUACACAGAAUAAGUCUAAUUGAAAGAAAUAACUGUCCUUUCCCAAAAACAUCUUCAGUUCUUUCAACCAUUCCUCAUUUGAGCUAGUCUCUAGACAGUUUUUAGGCCUGUUAUUUUGGGUUUCCCUAUUUCACAACACACUUGCAGAAUUGCUAGAUGCCUUGAUGUUUGCAUUUGUAAAACAGUUUUGGAAGCUCAAUAAACAAGUGCCAUUAAUAUCUUCAAAUGUUAUGCUGCUCUCUAGAAAAGAACGUGAGGUGACUAAAGCAGUGUAGCCAUUAUGUCAGCCCCAAAGCACUGCAUGGAGUUGUGGAAAAUCUCCUGGAAGGGGCCUCGGAGACUCACCUCGUCCAGUCUCCUCAUUGUGCAGAUGGUGAAGCGGAGAUCCAGACAGACAAAGUGGCUUUAAAGUCUGCACAGUUAGUUUAUGGCCCCGAUCUUUGUGUUUCUAGUCAGUAUUUGAAGACAGGGCAUAGGAGAGUUUGAGAGCUCAUUGAAAGAUGAAAGUGCAGUAAUUAUUUAUCCCAAUUAAAGGGGAAUCUAAAAUACUUGCUGAAAGCAUUUUCCAAGUAACUGUUUAUAUAAUUAAUGCUGUUGCUUUUUCUCCCUUUCUCAAAGCCUCAGGGAGUGCCUACUCUGACCCACGGCUUUAUCUGCUGUGGACACUCUUGUACGUCUGUGGUUUAUUGGGUAAUGAUUUAUAUUUGCAAGGGAAUGCUUGACUGGCAUGGGCUGGGUUAGCUCAGCAAGAGAAACUUGCUAAUGAAGCCAAGGUUGAGGGGUUCGGUCCCUAUGAGCCCCUUAGCUUUGCUGUGAUCCUUAGCUGUGGCUGAUACCCCUAAUCCCCACCAGUCAUCUCACACGUGUGGGCUUUUGAAAGCAGGAGGGGCCUGGAUGCAGUGAAGAAGGCUCAUUUCUUCCAGAUGCUCACCUGCAAUGGAAAGCUACAUAUGCAGUAAGUAAUGAAGGGGGUGAUGAUAAUUAUUAUAGCUAACGUUUAUAGAGCACUAAAUAUGUUGCAGAAUCAUGCAAGUGUGCUUAUAUUUAUCUAAUUCUCACAACUCUACCAGGUAAGUACUAUUGUGAUCUCCAUUUUAAAGAUGGGAAAGUGAGGCUUGGGAUAGUCAACUGUUCAAGUUUAAUUGACUAAUAUGCAAUAGGGUAGAGCCUGCCUGGGAUUUGAAUUUGAGUCUUUCUGACUCCAAAGUCUACAGUCUAAUCGAAAAAUCCAACAUUACCAUUGUGAAUGCUUGGUUAUGUACUGGUUAUCUCUGAGUUCCAAGUCAUAUAUUAAUUUGUCCGCUCUUAUUUUAUUAUUAGUGGGAUUGACAGGCAGUAUGCUAUACUGCUUAAGAGCAUGCACUCUGAGGCCAGAGUUCUUGGGUUCAAAUCCUAGUUCUAUCAUGUGUUAACUUUGUGACCAAGAGCAAGUUAUCAAACCUCUUUGUGCCUCGUCUUUCUCAUUUGUAAAAUGGAAAAAUAACAGCACCUACUUCUUGCAUUUCUGGAGGGAGGAUUAAAUUAGUUAAUAACAAUAGAAGGUUUAUAUAGCACCCAGCAUUUGGUAUAAGGCUGGAUGACCUGAGAAGAAAAUCACAGCAACAUCUUAGCCUUUGAAAAAUGUGCUCCUUUACAUUGUCUUAUUUUUCCAGGUGGCAUCGCUCCCAGACUACAAGUCUGCAUGUUCACGAGGAGAGGAUGAGAAAGCUAGGCAGGCACGAAGAGCCACUGGGGAACGUGUCUUGAAAACAAGCAUGGAUUAUUUAAAAAAAAAUUCAAGAAGGUGCCCAUGUGAAAGUUUAAAUUUUCCUCCCACCAGCCCCCUCCCUCCUUUUUGAGCAUGCCAGGAACUCGUGGUUAUAGAAGGCCAUUGUGCAACCUCUUUUGCUGUGAGCACAGAGCAUGUAUAUUGCAUUCCCUCCUGUGGCAGGCCUGCUCCCAUGUUUGUUGUCUGGCUCCAGCCUCCCAUUAACAGAAUCCCUGGGGAAGGGCAGUUUCCUUACAUUAGGUAGAAAUGCUCUUGUUAAUGAUAAAUUGAUGAAAAGCUGCUUUUUUACAUUAGGUGAAUGGUCCUUUGAUAAUGGGGUUGGAAUCAGACCAAGGGUUUUAUUCUGUUUUGCUAGGAGAGUGAGAACUACCUAAAACAUUCUUUUUUCUUGUCUGUUACUAGAAAAUGACACAGUCAAAGCCUUUUGGCUUUCCAUUUUAACAGAACAACUCAAACUAUAUGCAUGUGACAGGUGGUUUUAUUCCUUUCUUCUUUCAUAUUGUCUGCAGGUAGGUGACAAGCUUCAAAAUAGAUCUUGGGGCUUCAUCAUAAACCAUGGCCCAGUGGUGGUCCACAGAUACCAGUUGGGCUGAGUGGUGAGGAUAUGCUUUCAACUGAAUUCUGAGUCCUUUCUUCCAUACUCAGGAGUGAAGUUACCCUCUCUAGGGAGGUCUUGUUGUCUGGCUCACUUUGAGAUGUCUGUGGUCAGCGUGGCCUGACCCUGGAGAGAGAACUGAGUUCUGGGUGGCCAGUAGAACUAUAACUGGAGUUCUAUUAACACCACAAACAAUUUGAUUUUUGCUUCACCUCCAGGUUGGGACAGAACAAGAUGAGCUGGAACUGAGGGACGAAGUUCUAUUUUCCAAGGAGCUGACCCCGUGGUGAUGAGUGCCUCGUUUGUCAGGAUUACCUAAAUAAAGGCAGGCUUGGAGGCCAGCAGAGCCUAGUUACAUAGCCUCCUUGGCUGUGGUCCAUGAGACAUCUGAGAAAGAGUCCCCUACCCUAGGGUAAAAGCCCCCUGGAAUUUCAUCCAAGGAUUUAUAAGAAAUCCUUUGGGAACUUCUUUAGGUUUCGUCCUAAACUACACACAUUGGAAACCAAUCAAAGUAGCACUGGCUUGUUGAUUUAGACCCAGGUCCUGUAUUGACAAGCGUAAUCUCCCUUUGGGAUAAAUUAGUGAAGGUGAGUACUUGGGAUAUGAUUAGUACGGAGCAAACAUUUUUUAAACAAAUAGUGUUUGUAUUCUGUUUUGGUUGAGAAACAAAUCUAUCUGUAGAGUUGCCUACCUGUAGAAUUGUUCCUUACUUAGUGUUUCUUCCCAAAAUGUUUAGAGGAGAAUAAGUCCUGGGUAGGGAUCCGUCUUGGGGAGCAGGAAAACAUUGAUUGAGUACCUACGGUAUGUUGGGCAUUGUGUUAGGUGCUUCGUAUAAAUCAUUUUUUAGGACAACUUUGUGAGGUAAAUUUGUAAAUCAGUUUUUUACUCAUUUUACCAGCAAACAAACCAAGACUUGUGAUCCAGUGGUUAAUACAGUCGCAGGGCUGGGAUUCUAACCGGUCUGACUCAAAUUUACUAUGUAGUGUGGUAUUAAUGAUUUGGAAGUUGAAUUUGAGGCGGGGUUUUAGGGAGUGUAGGCCACUGGACAGGGUCCUAUCCUGGGGAAUAUCAGCAGAGCCCACGUAGUCAAGUUUUCCAGUUGCACCCCUUGCAUGAGUUGCCUCAGGCACAAGGCAGCUAGGGAUCUUAUUUUAGCAGAAUUAAACUCUUUAAUGGAUUUUUCUCCCCAAGCCCUGAGAAUAUUUCAGGUCUAAGAAAUAGCUUCCUUUUCAGGAAGAUCUGUUUCACACAAUAGACCACAAGCAAAAUGUAUUUCUUGUCUCCUGAAAAAAAAAGGAGAUUAAUUAAAUUUUAUUUUUUUCUGCAUGUCAGGCACACCUUAAAAAAUGUAGUUCUUAAUUCUAUCUUGACAUGAAUUUAAAAUUUUGUGUAAAAUGACUGCUCUAGAAAAAGCCAAUGAAGGCAACGUUGGUAAGUGUUGAUAAUGCAUUGGUAAACGGACCCACAGUUCUGCUUGUCAAACUUCUCAUACUAAAGGGUGAUUGUGGAUUUGAAAGUGGGGGCCUUCCCUUUUCCUCCUUUUAGUACUUGGAGCUUGAAUAUUAAUAUUUCAGGUGAAAUAUAAGUUUCAGACUUGCAAAUUUGUGUCACGAAAUCAAAGGGAAGAGAGGAUUGUAAGAGCAGGGGGCAGGGGCUGGGUGGCAGAUAAGAGGACCUCUUAGUGUCAGCAAGAUGGAAAUCAACAGGAUAAUGAGGAUCACUAGAGUAAAUAAUUUCCAUUUUAUCCCCAAUAAGAAUAUUCCUUCCCUCACCUUUCAAAUUCCCUGCUCACCUCCUGUGCAUUCGAAACAAAUGAUUAUCUACUCUUCAUUCCUGAAACGAGCCCUGAAGUCGGGGUAGUCAUGGAAUUCUGAAGUGUUUCUCUCCAGGGCCCUCUGUCUUACGCUGGUAGACCAUGGGCAUUAACAUGUAUGUUGGUUUUAUACAUGUUUUGCAAAGCCCUAUUUGUUUUUAUUAUUUGAAUUUGUGAGCAUGGUAACACCUCCCAAAGUAUAUUAGGUAUUCUGAUCUUGAGGAUUCAUGGAUAACUCCGGAAUUUCUGCAGAAAAAGAGAUUCUGUAUAAUGUGUCCAGUUAAAACUAGCAGAAACACAAAAUGAAAUGGAUGGGUUGUUUGUACUCGUCCAUCUUAAAAUAACAUUUAUUUUUUUUCUGUCUCACUUCACUAGUACAGAUUCUGACAUUUUCUCUGGCCACAUCACAGGGAUGAUCUUGCCGCAUUUCUUAAAGUAGCCCUCCAAGUAUCUGGCAUGAGUUUAGCUCUUCUUUAUGGGAAAGACUCUGAAACAGCUGCACCAAGUUAGCCAAACUACCGUGAAUAGACACAAAGUAAAAUAUCUGCUUUAUUGCCAUUGGUCUUCAGUGGCUAGAGGGGAACAUCAGGACAGGCUAUUCAAAUGAGAUGGCACUCAUCACUUAGCUGAUUUGGCGUGAAAAUAAGCCACUUAACCAUGUACUGGGCACAUCUUUUCUCUCUUUCUUCUUUCAGUGUAUAGAAAGCAUCUCAGGUGAAGAUAGGAUCGGCACAUAGAACCAGUACUUUCCAGGAUGGGCAUCGCAAUGAGGCUCUGGCCGACAGACCUCCAUGAUGUGCAAACUGCCUUUGCUCACUGAUCUUGUCUACCUGGAAAAAGAUUUUCAAACAGACUUUGUCAGCUCAGCCUUGGCAUUCCUCGUCAAACAAAAGCAUGCCUAAAGACACAUUUCAAAAGAAGACCAUGCAGCACUUGCUAACCUGCAGAAAAUCGAAAAGAAACGUAGAGGCCAAGAACAAACAGAAUGGGAACCAAUGAGAAAUGGAGCACAGUUCCAAGAAACCAUUUCA
Non-coding RNA from Equus caballus (horse), 6775 nucleotides. Lineage: Eukaryota; Metazoa; Chordata; Mammalia; Perissodactyla; Equidae. The record is from RefSeq and is a predicted model, not a curated record.